CGUAUGGUGUCCGGCUUUGGAUCGGAUGGCGAUACGGCCCUAACGAGGU
Molecule: regulatory RNA element, 49 nt
Rfam family: L31-Gammaproteobacteria ribosomal protein leader
Source: Rfam